GAACGCGAAGAACCUUACCAGGGCUUGACAUCCAGGGAAGGUCUGCGAAAGUAGACUGUGCCUUUUGGAACCCUGUGACAGGUGAUGCAUGGCCGUCGUCAGCUCGUGUCGUGAGAUGUUAGGUUAAGUCCUUCAACGAGCGCAACCCUUGUGAAUAGUUGUAUUUUUCUAUUCAGACUGCCCCGGUAACGGGGAGGAAGGAGGGGAUGAUGUCAGGUCAGUAUUUCCCUUACGUCCUGGGCUAGAAACGUAAUACAAUGGCUAGUACAAUGCGCAGCGAAGCCGCGAGGUGAAGCAAAUCGCAUCAAAGCUAGUCCCAGUUCGGAUUGUAGGCUGAAACUCGCCUGCAUGAAGUCGGAAUCGCUAGUAAUCGCAAAUCAGCAAGUUGCGGUGAAUACGUUCCCGGGUCUUGUACACACC
This 420-nucleotide ribosomal RNA is filed under the name uncultured bacterium. Its description in RNAcentral is "bacterial SSU rRNA". It matches the Rfam family "Bacterial small subunit ribosomal RNA", at positions 957 to 1391 of the family's 1533-position model. The record is from RNAcentral.